GGGGAUUUCUCCCAAAAUUAGGGUUUUCAUAUUUAAACCAAAUUUUCAUUCAAUUAGAUUCGGUUAAGGUCACAUUAGUCUAAUUAGAGCUAAUUUAAUCCUCGUGGGAACGAUACUUGGACUCAUAGUCCACUUUACUACUUGUUAACGAACCGUACACUUGCGGUGGGUUUUAAAAUAUAGAAGAAAUAAUUUUGCGAACAAGUUUUUGGCGCCGUUGCCGG
Molecule: long non-coding RNA, 224 nt
Filed under: Olea europaea (common olive)
Lineage: Eukaryota; Viridiplantae; Streptophyta; Magnoliopsida; Lamiales; Oleaceae
Description: long non-coding RNA (OEUR_LNC015045)
Source: RNAcentral